AGAGGAAUAGUUCAGUGGUAGAGAGCAUGCUUAACAUGCAUGAGGUCCUGGGUUCAAUCCCCAGUACCUCCA
RNAcentral lists this transfer RNA (72 nucleotides) under Camelus ferus (Wild Bactrian camel). It matches the Rfam family "tRNA". From Rfam's summary of the family: Transfer RNA (tRNA) molecules are approximately 80 nucleotides in length. Their secondary structure includes four short double-helical elements and three loops (D, anti-codon, and T loops). Lineage: Eukaryota; Metazoa; Chordata; Mammalia; Artiodactyla; Camelidae. The record is from Rfam by way of RNAcentral.